Arachis duranensis is the source of this 104-nucleotide small nucleolar RNA. The record is from RefSeq and is a predicted model, not a curated record. NCBI's taxonomy places the organism in Eukaryota, Viridiplantae, Streptophyta, Magnoliopsida, Fabales, Fabaceae.
AUGUCAGGAGGACAUCUCCUGGUCAGUUGCUUGUAUCGUUCCCAAGCUUCAUAGAGGGAUUCACCCUCUUUUUAUCUCAAGGUUUAAACUUCUACCCUGAGCUU